UACGUAGGGUGCAAGCGUUGUCCGGAAUUAUUGGGCGUAAAGAGCUCGUAGGCGGUGUGUCGCGUCGGCCGUGAAAACCUGCAGCUUAACUGUGGGCGUGCGGGCGAUACGGGCAGACUGGAGUACUGCAGGGGAGACUGGAAUUCCUGGUGUAGCGGUGGAAUGACGCAGAUAUCAGGAGGAACACCGGUGGCGAAGGCGGGUCUCUGGGCAGUAACUGACGCUGAGGAGCGAAAGCGUGGGGAGCGAACAGG
Molecule: ribosomal RNA, 254 nt
Filed under: uncultured bacterium
Lineage: Bacteria
Description: partial 16S ribosomal RNA
Rfam family: Bacterial small subunit ribosomal RNA
Source: RNAcentral